UCCACGCCUUGAUAAUUUUUG
Molecule: non-coding RNA, 21 nt
Filed under: Caenorhabditis elegans
Lineage: Eukaryota; Metazoa; Nematoda; Chromadorea; Rhabditida; Rhabditidae
Source: RNAcentral